RNAcentral lists this ribosomal RNA (440 nucleotides) under uncultured bacterium. RNAcentral's name for it is "partial 16S ribosomal RNA". It matches the Rfam family "Bacterial small subunit ribosomal RNA", at positions 338 to 795 of the family's 1533-position model. The record is from RNAcentral.
CCUACGGGUGGCAGCAGUGGGGAAUAUUGCACAAUGGGGGAAACCCUGAUGCAGCGACGCCGCGUGAGUGAAGGAGCAUUUCGGUAUGUAAAGCUCUAUCAGCAGGGAAGAAAAUGACGGUACCUGACUAAGAAGCCCCGGCUAACUACGUGCCAGCAGCCGCGGUAAUACGUAGGGGGCAAGCGUUAUCCGGAUUUACUGGGUGUAAAGGGAGCGUAGACGGCAGCACAAGUCUGGAGUGAAAUGCCGGGGCUUAACCCCGGAACUGCCUUGGAAACUGCGCAGCUAGAGUGCCGGAGAGGUAAGUGGAAUGCCUAGUGUAGCGGUGAAAUGCAUAGAUAUUAGGAGGAACACCAGUGGCGAAGGCGGCUUACUGGACUGCAACUGACGUUGAGGUUCGAAAGCGUGGGGAGCGAACAGGAUUAGAUACCCGAGUAGUC